GCUGGGCAUGGUGGUGCAUGCCUGUAAUCCCAGCAGCUCAGGAAGCUGAGGCAGAAGGAUAGAGAGUUCAAAGCCAGCCUCAACAAUUUAGAGAGGCCCUAAGUAACUCAGCCAGACCCUGUCUCUA
Molecule: small RNA, 127 nt
Filed under: Marmota monax (woodchuck)
Lineage: Eukaryota; Metazoa; Chordata; Mammalia; Rodentia; Sciuridae
Source: RNAcentral